Pseudophryne corroboree (corroboree frog) is the source of this 1042-nucleotide long non-coding RNA. RefSeq lists it as uncharacterized. The transcript is spliced from 7 exons. The record is from RefSeq and is a predicted model, not a curated record. NCBI's taxonomy places the organism in Eukaryota, Metazoa, Chordata, Amphibia, Anura, Myobatrachidae.
GGGACCCGUUUUGUCACUUCCGCAGGAAGUGACAUACCCGGAAGUGAGGGAGGCGGAGCCAGGUAUGCUGGGACUGCGGUGAUGUGCAGUGGGAAGUCUCCUUGGGUUAAAUUGUUUGCUCUCAUAUAUGAAGAUCUAUAUUCAUCAUGAGGAUUUUUCCCGCUCCCACAAAAUGGGAGUCCUAUGAUAGGACAAUUAGCAGACUCGAUGAUGCUGAGAUCAGGACUCUGUGGGAGCCAUAGCACCACUUCCAGGACACUUUUUUCUUCUUUACGCUGAAGGUAGUUCUUAAUGACAUUGGCUGUAUGUUUGGGGUCGUUGUCCUGCUACAGGAUAAAUUUGGAGCCAAUCAGAUGCCACCCUGAUGGUACUGCAUGAUGGAUAAGUACUUGCCUGUAACUGCAUCUCUUAGCAGCCCUUGAGCGUCCCGGCAGCCCCCAAGACUCCCAGCAGCUUCAUUACAGGGAAGACCACUAGACAGAUCAGGGAUCUGUUUGAUUGCUCAACUACUGACUUAAAAUGGGGAGAGUACUGUGGCAGUGUGAGAAGCUGUAUGGCUAUGGCGUUGUGAAGGUGUUGCUUCAGAGCAUGGGGCUGGUGAGAGUGCCAAUACCAAUGAUGACAGCAGCUGGUGUAAUAUCUAUGAGAGGCAUGAGCAUGGACCCUCGCAUUAGCUAAACGCAAUCCUGCAUUACCAUAAGUUACAGUACAUCAACUGAUAUAAAGCCUGUAAUGUAAAUGAAGAUUAUAAGAAUAACAUCUAAGAGACCGAAAGAAAGAGGAAUUUUACUGUGCAUUGGUGUAAUAUGAAAAGGGACAUUUACAGGUUUUAGAGUGCUUGGCAGAUUGUGGAAAGAAAGCAUCAACCAUAUCAACCAUAUUAGACUUUGAAUUUGAAACCAUUUUCUAUGUUGUGAAGAACAAUAUAUUGUAACAAUGACUGACACUAUACGCUACUUAUUUUAUAUACAAUAUGUAUUACCGCAACAAAUUGCAAAUAAAACAUUCUUAUUUCUGUCAUAAUGUUAUGGAAAUCUACAAA